UGAGUAACCUGCCCUUAACUCUGGGAUAAGCCUGGGAAACUGGGUCUAAUACCGGAUAUGACUCCUCAUCGCAUGGUGGGGGGUGGAAAGCUUUAUUGUGGUUUUGGAUGGACUCGCGGCCUAUCAGCUUGUUGGUGAGGUAAUGGCUCACCAAGGCGACGACGGGUAGCCGGCCUGAGGAGGGUGACCGGCCACACUGGGACUGAGACACGGCCCAGACCUCCGUACGGGAGCAG
Molecule: ribosomal RNA, 236 nt
Filed under: uncultured bacterium
Lineage: Bacteria
Description: partial 16S ribosomal RNA
Rfam family: Bacterial small subunit ribosomal RNA
Source: RNAcentral